Molecule: ribosomal RNA, 318 nt
Filed under: Tepidamorphus gemmatus
Lineage: Bacteria; Pseudomonadati; Pseudomonadota; Alphaproteobacteria; Hyphomicrobiales; Tepidamorphaceae
Source: RNAcentral
CUUGGUGACUAUUGCGGAGCGAAACAGACCCGAUCCCAUCCCGAACUCGGCCGUCAAACGUUCCAGCGUCGAUGAUACUGCGUCCUAAGGCGCGGGAAAGUAGAUCGUCGCCAGGCCUGCCAAGGACAGGACAGAUGUCACCAACCCCAUCAUUCGAUCAGGAAGGCCUGAGCGUUCAGGCCGACAUGCGAUUCUGACGGACUGCCGCAUCAGCAGCCGGGGUGCUGUGAGAUGCCGUCACGUUGCGCAAGCGGUUUUCGCGAUCCGACAUGGCGCGGGCGGCGUCGGGAUGUGUGGCCUAUGCCGCCCGCGCCGUGU